Molecule: long non-coding RNA, 232 nt
Filed under: Elaeis guineensis (African oil palm)
Lineage: Eukaryota; Viridiplantae; Streptophyta; Magnoliopsida; Arecales; Arecaceae
Description: long non-coding RNA (EGUI_LNC036089)
Source: RNAcentral
AUAUAUACGUGUAUAUAUAUAUAGAAGAAUGCCAUUAAAUUAUUUGAUUUUUUUGUACAAUAAUAAUAAUACAUCAGCUUGAAACUUUCACAACUAUUUGAUAAAACCAUGAUAACAUGUUUCUGUAAUCUCCUAUAAGGAUGCAUACAGGGAGACAGAGUUAUGGAGUUAAGAGAAGCUCACACUCUCUCUCACAGAAAAGAAGUGAAGUGCAGAGGUAUUAUGGAAGGCC